RNAcentral lists this ribosomal RNA (383 nucleotides) under uncultured Polaromonas sp. RNAcentral describes it as "bacterial SSU rRNA". It matches the Rfam family "Bacterial small subunit ribosomal RNA", at positions 997 to 1382 of the family's 1533-position model. Lineage: Bacteria; Pseudomonadati; Pseudomonadota; Betaproteobacteria; Burkholderiales; Comamonadaceae. The record is from RNAcentral.
UUUCUAGAGAUAGAUUGGUGCCUUCGGGAACUCAGACACAGGUGCUGCAUGGCUGUCGUCAGCUCGUGUCGUGAGAUGUUGGGUUAAGUCCCGCAACGAGCGCAACCCUUGUCAUUAGUUGCUACAUUUAGUUGGGCACUCUAAUGAGACUGCCGGUGACAAACCGGAGGAAGGUGGGGAUGACGUCAAGUCCUCAUGGCCCUUAUAGGUAGGGCUACACACGUCAUACAAUGGAUGGUACAGAGGGUCGCCAACCCGCGAGGGGGAGCCAAUCCCAUAAAACCAUUCGUAGUCCGGAUCGCAGUCUGCAACUCGACUGCGUGAAGUCGGAAUCGCUAGUAAUCGUGGAUCAGAAUGUCACGGUGAAUACGUUCCCGGGUCUU